Molecule: ribosomal RNA, 253 nt
Filed under: uncultured bacterium
Lineage: Bacteria
Description: partial 16S ribosomal RNA
Rfam family: Bacterial small subunit ribosomal RNA
Source: RNAcentral
UACGUAGGGCGCAAGCGUUGUCCGGAAUUAUUGGGCGUAAAGAGCUCGUAGGCGGCCUGUUGCGUCCGCUGUGAAAUCCCGGGGCUCAACCCCGGGCGUGCAGUGGAUACGGGCUGGCUGGAGGCAGGCAGGGGAGAGUGGAAUUCCCGGUGUAGCGGUGAAAUGCGCAGAUAUCGGGAGGAACACCGGUGGCGAAGGCGGCUCUCUGGAACGCAACUGACGCUGAGACGCGAAAGCGUGGGGAGCAAACAGG